RNAcentral lists this ribosomal RNA (698 nucleotides) under uncultured bacterium. Its description in RNAcentral is "bacterial SSU rRNA". It matches the Rfam family "Bacterial small subunit ribosomal RNA", at positions 8 to 699 of the family's 1533-position model. The record is from RNAcentral.
AGAGUUUGAUCCUGGCUCAGAUUGAACGCUGGCGGCAUGCCUUACACAUGCAAGUCGAACGGCAGCACGGGAGCUUGCUCCUGGUGGCGAGUGGCGAACGGGUGAGUAAUACAUCGGAACGUACCCAGGAGUGGGGGAUAACGUAGCGAAAGUUACGCUAAUACCGCAUAUUCUGUGAGCAGGAAAGCGGGGGAUCGCAAGACCUCGCGCUCUUGGAGCGGCCGAUGUCGGAUUAGCUAGUUGGUGAGGUAAAAGCUCACCAAGGCGACGAUCCGUAGCAGGUCUGAGAGGAUGAUCUGCCACACUGGGACUGAGACACGGCCCAGACUCCUACGGGAGGCAGCAGUGGGGAAUUUUGGACAAUGGGGGCAACCCUGAUCCAGCCAUGCCGCGUGAGUGAAGAAGGCCUUCGGGCUGUAAAGCUCUUUCGGCGGGGAAGAAAUGGCAACGGCUAAUAUCCGUUGUUGAUGACGGUACCCGCAUAAGAAGCACCGGCUAACUACGUGCCAGCAGCCGCGGUAAUACGUAGGGUGCGAGCGUUAAUCGGAAUUACUGGGCGUAAAGCGUGCGCAGGCGGUUUCGUAAGACAGACGUGAAAUCCCCGGGCUCAACCUGGGAACUGCGUUUGUGACUGCGAGGCUAGAGUACGGCAGAGGGGGGUAGAAUUCCACGUGUAGCAGUGAAAUGCGUAGAGAUGU